GAUAAAGUGGCUGAGUAAUAGGCGGCAGAUUGUAAAUCUGUAAACGAAUAUAGUGUUCCUUUAUUA
This 66-nucleotide transfer RNA is filed under the name Macrophthalmus pacificus. RNAcentral describes it as "tRNA-Tyr". It matches the Rfam family "tRNA". Rfam says of the family: Transfer RNA (tRNA) molecules are approximately 80 nucleotides in length. Their secondary structure includes four short double-helical elements and three loops (D, anti-codon, and T loops). Further hydrogen bonds mediate the characteristic L-shaped molecular structure. tRNAs have two regions of fundamental functional importance: the anti-codon, which is responsible for specific mRNA codon recognition, and the 3' end, to which the tRNAs corresponding amino acid is attached (by aminoacyl-tRNA synthetases). tRNAs cope with the degeneracy of the genetic code in two manners: having more than one tRNA (with a specific anti-codon) for a particular amino acid; and 'wobble' base-pairing, i.e. permitting non-standard base-pairing at the 3rd anti-codon position. The record is from RNAcentral. Lineage: Eukaryota; Metazoa; Arthropoda; Malacostraca; Decapoda; Macrophthalmidae.